Molecule: ribosomal RNA, 558 nt
Filed under: Triticum aestivum (bread wheat)
Lineage: Eukaryota; Viridiplantae; Streptophyta; Magnoliopsida; Poales; Poaceae
Description: partial small subunit ribosomal RNA
Source: RNAcentral
AUGGACAUGACAAUGAAGUACUUUGAGAGGAGGAAGGUCGAGAAUACAAAGCUUUUCUUUGCGAAGCAAAAAGAUCCUUCCACGAACUCUGUCACUGCAUUGUUUUGGAUUGAUGGGAGGACAAGGGCGUUGUACCCGAAAUAUAAAGAUUGUGUGUUCUUUGACACAACUUUUUGCACCAACAGAUACAAUAUGCCCUUUUGUCCUAUAGUUGGUAUCAACAACCACCUCCAAACCAUUUCACUCGGGUGUGCUUUGUUGCCGGAUGAGACUAUUGAAACGUUUAAGUGGGUCUUUGAGCAAUGGAUGGUUGCAAUGGACAAUGAGCAUCCAAAGAACAUAAUGACUGACCAGGACCAAGCAAUGGCAACAACUAUAGAGCAGGUGCUCCCAAAUACUUGCCAUAGGUGUUGCAAGUUUCAUGUGUUUAGCAACGUGCGUUCUAAGUUGGGGAGGCUGCUGAGCAGAGAUGAGGCGUUUGCAGAUAUGUUUUACACUUGUAUCAACAACUCUAAAACGGUUGAAGAAUUUGAGGAAACAUGGCAGCACAUGUUGUAG